Molecule: long non-coding RNA, 744 nt
Organism: Vicia villosa (hairy vetch)
Lineage: Eukaryota; Viridiplantae; Streptophyta; Magnoliopsida; Fabales; Fabaceae
Exons: 3
Source: RefSeq, a predicted model, not a curated record
CUUCAAUUCUAUUUUAUCUUCUUCCAAUUCCUAAUCAUCAACCAUUAUUUUCUCAUUUCCUCCAUCUUAACCCUUCCUCUCUCUCCCCUUUUAAAUUUCCCGUUAACGUUGAAGAUUUGGUUUAUGUAGCGCAAUUUAAGGAAAGGGGAGAACGAUUCCUUCUUUUUCUUCUUCAAGUAAAGGUGGUCUGAAAACUUAUUGAGUUGGUGACAAGUCCGACGGCAAAUUUGUCGAUUGUACGUGUAGAUUUGGUGCCAUUGAUUUGCACGUCGCGGUGGUUAAUCUGCAUUUACACUGUAUGAUUUGGAUUCUACGGUGGUUCUGAGUUGUGUCGUCGAUGGCGAUUUCACCGCAUCCUACGCCUUCUGAUGCAAAUGAGCCUAUAUUGUCAAGUCAUAGUGAAAUAAGGCCAGAAAUCACAACAUGCUCAUACUAAAAAUAACAUGCCCAUGCUGAAAUAAGGCCAAAAAUCAAGAAUUUUUUAGAAGCUGAAAGUAAAGCCGGUGAAGAGCAAGUCGAUGAGCAUGCAGAUAAUGGGAACUCAGAUUCACAGCAAAACAUGUUUUUCUUGGAUGCUGAUCAUUUUCCUAAAUUGCUAGGCAUGCUACACAUAGAAACAACAUUUUUAGAAAUUGCUAUGCAUGAUAGCUCUCAUUUUUUUGUACGAUGAAGAAUUAAAGGAAGGAAUUGUUUGGUUCACAUUCAUUGUCUGGGUUUGGAUAGUUACAAUACUAUCUAGGUGUU